UGGGGAAUAUUGCACAAUGGGCGCAAGCCUGAUGCAGCCAUGCCGCGUGUAUGAAGAAGGCCUUCGGGUUGUAAAGUACUUUCAGCGAGGAGGAAGGCGUUGUGGUUAAUAACCUUAUCGAUUGACGUUACUCGCAGAAGAAGCACCGGCUAACUCCGUGCCAGCAGCCGCGGUAAUACGGAGGGUGCAAGCGUUAAUCGGAAUUACUGGGCGUAAAGCGCACGCAGGCGGUCGGUCAAGUCGGAUGUGAAAUCCCCGGGCUCAACCUGGGAACUGCAUUCGAAACUGGCAGGCUAGAGUCUUGUAGAGGGGGGUAGAAUUCCAGGUGUAGCGGUGAAAUGCGUAGAGAUCUGGAGGAAUACCGGUGGCGAAGGCGGCCCCCUGGACAAAGACUGACGCUCAGGUGCGAAAGCGUGGGGAGCAAACA
Molecule: ribosomal RNA, 427 nt
Filed under: uncultured bacterium
Lineage: Bacteria
Description: partial 16S ribosomal RNA
Rfam family: Bacterial small subunit ribosomal RNA
Source: RNAcentral